RNAcentral lists this ribosomal RNA (273 nucleotides) under uncultured bacterium. Its description in RNAcentral is "partial 16S ribosomal RNA". It matches the Rfam family "Bacterial small subunit ribosomal RNA", at positions 524 to 796 of the family's 1533-position model. The record is from RNAcentral.
UACGGAGGGUGCAAGCGUUAAUCGGAAUUACUGGGCGUAAAGCGCGCGUAGGCGGCUUGGUCAGUUGGGUGUGAAAGCCCCGGGCUUAACCUGGGAACUGCAUCCAAUACUGCCAGGCUAGAGUACGAGAGAGGGGGGUAGAAUUCCUAGUGUAGCGGUGAAAUGCGUAGAUAUUAGGAGGAAUACCAGUGGCGAAGGCGGCCCCCUGGCUCGAUACUGACGCUGAGGUGCGAAAGCGUGGGGAGCAAACAGGAUUAGAUACCCGUGUAGUCC